UGCGACAUCUCCGCUUCUGAGAAGAACUUCCACAUUUCUUCUCAGAGCCAAGAUAUUAAGAAAGGAAGCUAACAAAAUUCGGCUGAAAUUGUUCGGAUCUGAAUCUGAAUCUAACAAUAUCCAGCUGAAAUUGUUCGGAUC
This is a long non-coding RNA of Ananas comosus (pineapple), 141 nucleotides long. RefSeq lists it as uncharacterized. Lineage: Eukaryota; Viridiplantae; Streptophyta; Magnoliopsida; Poales; Bromeliaceae. The record is from RefSeq and is a predicted model, not a curated record. The transcript has 3 exons.